GAUAAACGCUGGCGGCGUGCUUAACACAUGCAAGUCGAACGAAGGCUUUCUUUCGGGUGUGACGGAGUGGCGGGCGGGGGAGUGACACGUGUGUAACCGUCCCUGUUCAGGGGGACAACAGCUGCAAAAGGCUACCAAUAACGCAUAAGCCCCUACCACGGCAUGGUGCAGAGGGAAAAGGAGCAAUCCGGUACAGGAUGGACCAGCGUCUUAUUAGGCAGUUGGCAGGGUGACGGCCUACCAAAGCGACCAGCAGUAGACGAUCUGAGAGGCUGUACGGCCACAUCUGGAGUGAGCCGCAGUCCAGAAUCCUACGGGAUGCAGCAGUGGGGAAUAUUGCACACUGGAGUAAACUCUGAUGCAGCGACGGCGGGUGAGUAAAGAAGUAUUUCGGUAUGUAAAGCUCUAUAAGCAGGAGAGAAAAUGACGGUACCUGCAGAAGAAGCACCGGCUAACUACGUG
RNAcentral lists this ribosomal RNA (462 nucleotides) under uncultured bacterium. RNAcentral describes it as "partial 16S ribosomal RNA". It matches the Rfam family "Bacterial small subunit ribosomal RNA", at positions 28 to 507 of the family's 1533-position model. The record is from RNAcentral.